AUACUUGCCUGGCAGGGGCGAUUCCAUGGUCAGGAAGGUGACUUCCCCAGGGUGAGGCUCACGCACUGCACUCCCAGCGUACUGACCUCUACGAUUUCUCCAAAUAUGGGAAAUUCGACUGCACAAUUUGUGAUAGUGGGGGACUACAUUCGUGCUCUCCCCUG
Molecule: small nuclear RNA, 164 nt
Organism: Suncus etruscus (white-toothed pygmy shrew)
Lineage: Eukaryota; Metazoa; Chordata; Mammalia; Eulipotyphla; Soricidae
Product: U1 spliceosomal RNA
Exons: 1
Source: RefSeq, a predicted model, not a curated record